RNAcentral lists this long non-coding RNA (574 nucleotides) under Ananas comosus (pineapple). RNAcentral's name for it is "long non-coding RNA (ACOM_LNC012910)". Lineage: Eukaryota; Viridiplantae; Streptophyta; Magnoliopsida; Poales; Bromeliaceae. The record is from RNAcentral.
GUGAAAACAACCUCAUUCAUAAUAAAUGCUUACCCGAAUUGAGAUCUAUAGAGUACAUGGAAUUUCUUUUGUCCUUAUUUGAAAUUGGAAAGUGUUAUUAGGAUUAACCCCCUCAACAACUAUAAAAAGGACAGCUAAAAUUUGACUUGACGAUGUCGGAUCAUUGGCGCUAAUAAUUAAUUCUAAAAAUUCGAACGAUUAAAAAUACGUAAUCAAUUUAUUUAAAAUAUAUAGAUAUAGUGCCCACGAGUCUCAAUUGUGACUCGGCCCCAUGACCUCUGAUUUUGAUACCACUUAUCGGAUCGUUGGCGCUAACCAUUAAUCCUAAAAACUCGAGCUGUUAUAAAUACGCAACCAAUUCACUUAAAACGUACAGAUACAGUGCCCACGGGUGUCGAUUGUGACUCGGCCCAACCAGCCUCAUACCACUUCGAACAGGAUUCAGCCCACCAAGCUUCACGCCAUUUUGAACAGGACUUGGCCCAGCAUGGCCUCCCGCUAUAGGGCAGAAUGCUGGUCCAUUUAAGCCAACAGAUGAAUGUAUGAAACCAAAUGUAAGAUUAUGACAUUUUAU